Molecule: ribosomal RNA, 2750 nt
Filed under: Lacticaseibacillus casei
Lineage: Bacteria; Bacillati; Bacillota; Bacilli; Lactobacillales; Lactobacillaceae
Description: bacterial LSU rRNA
Rfam family: Bacterial large subunit ribosomal RNA
Source: RNAcentral
AAUUCGGCUUCUAGGAGCCGAUGAAGGACGGAACUAAUACCGAUAUGCUUCGGGGAGCUAUAAGUAAGCUUUGAUCCGGAGAUUUCCGAAUGGGGGAACCCAGUACACAUCAGUGUAUUGCUUGUCAGUGAAUACAUAGCUGGCCGGCGGCAGACGCGGGGAACUGAAACAUCUCAGUACCCGCAGGAAGAGAAAGAAAACUCGAUUCCCAUAGUAGCGGCGAGCGAAGUGGGAAGAGCCCAAACCGAGAAGCUUGCUUCUCGGGGUUGUAGGACUGGACAUUGGAGUUACCAAAGUCCGACGUAGUCGAAGUCAGCUGGAAAGCUGCGCCACAGAAGGUGAAAGCCCUGUAAGCGAAACGUCGAACCCUCCGUCCAGGAUCCUGAGUACGGCGGAACACGUGAAAUUCCGUCGGAAUCCGGGAGGACCAUCUCCCAAGGCUAAAUACUCCCUAGUGACCGAUAGUGAACCAGUACCGUGAGGGAAAGGUGAAAAGCACCCCGGAAGGGGAGUGAAACCGUGUGCCUACAAUUAGUCAAAGCCCGUUAAUGGGUAAUGGCGUGCCUUUUGUAGAAUGAACCGGCGAGUUACGUUUGCUUGCGAGGUUAAGAUGAAAAGUCGGAGCCGUAGCGAAAGCGAGUCUGAACAGGGCGAAUGAGUAAGCAGAUGUAGACCCGAAACCAAGUGACCUACCCAUGACCAGGUUGAAGGUGUGGUGAAACACACUGGAGGACCGAACCCAUGUAUGUUGAAAAAUGCUGGGAUGAGUUGUGGGUAGCGGUGAAAUUCCAAACGAACUUGGAGAUAGCUGGUUCUCUCCGAAAUAGCUUUAGGGUUAGCCUCGGAGGAUGGAUCAUGGAGGUAGAGCACUGUUUGAACUAGGGGCCCAUCAAGGGUUACUGAAUUCAGAUAAACUCCGAAUACCAUCGAUCUUACUCCGGGAGUCAGACAGUGAGCGAUAAGGUCCAUUGUCGAAAGGGGAACAGCCCAGAUCACCAGUUAAGGUCCCUAAAUUUAUGCUAAGUGGAAAAGGAUGUGGCGUUGCACAGACAACUAGGAUGUUCUCAGAAGCAGCCACCAUUUAAGAGUGCGUAAUAGCUCACUAGUCGAGUGGCACUGCGCCGAAAAUAUACCGGGGCUAAGCAUAAUACCGAAACUGUGGGUGCACCCGUAAGGGUGCGCGGUAGGAGAGCGUUCUAAGGGCGUUGAAGGUCGAUCGUGAGGACGGCUGGAGCGCUUAGAAGUGAGAAUGCCGGCAUGAGUAGCGAAAGAUCAGUGAGAAUCUGAUCCACCGUAUGACUAAGGCUUCCUGGGGAAGGCUCGUCCUCCCAGGGUUAGUCGGGAUCUAAGGCGAGGCCGAGAGGCGUAGUCGAUGACAAGCAGGUUGAGAUUCCUGCACUAGUUUAUUUUGUUUAAGCGAUGGAGGGACGCAGGAGGCUAAGGAAAGCGCACGGCUGGAAAUGUGCGCCCAAGCAGCAAGUCUGACAGCGAGUGAAAUGCCUGCAGUCUUAAGGACAAGCUGUGAUGGGGAGCGAAAUUAUAGUAGCGAAGUUCCUGAUGUCACACUGCCAAGAAAAGCUUCUAGUGAGAAAUAAACUACCCGUACCGCAAACCGACACAGGUAGUCGAGGAGAGUAUCCUCAGGUGAGCGAGCGAACUCUCGUUAAGGAACUCGGCAAAAUGACCCCGUAACUUCGGAAGAAGGGGUGCUGACCGCAAGGUCAGCCGCAGUGAAUAGGCCCAAACAACUGUUUAUCAAAAACACAGGUCUCUGCUAAAUCGUAAGAUGAUGUAUAGGGGCUGACGCCUGCCCGGUGCUGGAAGGUUAAGAGGAUGAGUUAGCGCAAGCGAAGCCCAGAAUUGAAGCCCCAGUAAACGGCGGCCGUAACUAUAACGGUCCUAAGGUAGCGAAAUUCCUUGUCGGGUAAGUUCCGACCCGCACGAAAGGCGUAAUGAUUUGGGCACUGUCUCAACGAGAGACUCGGUGAAAUUAUAGUACCCGUGAAGAUGCGGGUUACCCGCGACAGGACGGAAAGACCCCAUGGAGCUUUACUGUAGCUUGAUAUUGAGUGUUUGUACCGCUUGUACAGGAUAGGUAGGAGCCGUAGAGAUCGGAACGCUAGUUUCGAUGGAGGCGUUGGUGGGAUACUACCCUAGCUGUAUGAACACUCUAACCCGCGCCACUAAUCGUGGCGGGAGACAGUGUCAGGUAGGCAGUUUGACUGGGGCGGUCGCCUCCUAAAAUGUAACGGAGGCGCCCAAAGGUUCCCUCAGAAUGGUUGGAAAUCAUUCGCAGAGUGUAAAGGUAUAAGGGAGCUUGACUGCGAGACUGACAAGUCGAGCAGGGACGAAAGUCGGGCUUAGUGAUCCGGUGGUUCCGUAUGGAAGGGCCAUCGCUCAACGGAUAAAAGCUACCCUGGGGAUAACAGGCUUAUCUCCCCCAAGAGUCCACAUCGACGGGGAGGUUUGGCACCUCGAUGUCGGCUCAUCGCAUCCUGGGGCUGUAGUCGGUCCCAAGGGUUGGGCUGUUCGCCCAUUAAAGCGGUACGCGAGCUGGGUUCAGAACGUCGUGAGACAGUUCGGUCCCUAUCCGUCGCGGGCGCAGGAAAUUUGAGAGGAGCUGUCCUUAGUACGAGAGGACCGGGAUGGACGUUCCGCUGGUGUACCAGUUGUGCCGCCAGGCGCAUCGCUGGGUAGCUAUGAACGGCAGGGAUAAACGCUGAAAGCAUCUAAGUGUGAAAGCCGAAUUC